Molecule: small nuclear RNA, 106 nt
Organism: Panthera uncia (snow leopard)
Lineage: Eukaryota; Metazoa; Chordata; Mammalia; Carnivora; Felidae
Source: RefSeq, a predicted model, not a curated record
AUGCUCGCUUUGGCAGCACAUAAACUAAAAUUGGAAUGAUACAGAGAAGAUUAGCAUGGCCCCUGCACAGGAUGAUACACAAAUUAGUGAAGCAUUUCAUAAAAGA